This 72-nucleotide transfer RNA is filed under the name Cephalopholis boenak (chocolate hind). RNAcentral's name for it is "tRNA-Val". It matches the Rfam family "tRNA". From Rfam's summary of the family: Transfer RNA (tRNA) molecules are approximately 80 nucleotides in length. The record is from RNAcentral. Lineage: Eukaryota; Metazoa; Chordata; Actinopteri; Perciformes; Serranidae.
CGGGGUAUAGUUUAAUGCCUAGAACGACUCUUUUACACUGAGUUAGCACUCGUUAAAAUCGGGUUGCCCUGA